CUGACUUUAGGACUUGCUGCCUUCCCUAGCUGGCUGCUUUCAUCCUGACCUGCUUUGGGCUGUGUGAGCAACACCGUAAUGUGCCAGAUGGACAAGCUUUACAAAACUUCCUGCUGAGUGCUGCUCUGGAAAUGUCUGACAGAGGCUGCUGGGGUGAACUUUGUACACGUGGUCUGGCUGCAGGCCCUGUGGCUCUGUGUGCAGAGGUAUAACUCAGCAUAACUCGGAGUGUUUCCAUGAAAGGUUCAUGAAUCCAGGAGAGAAUAAUCUGAGAGCUUUUCGGCAUUCUUGGUGCAGCUUUUUUUUCCUGUAUUUUUUUUUUCGGCCAGCCGACAUAUGGCAGGAGGAUUAGAUCACUGCAAAGCACUGUUAUUUGUGACCCGUUUGUUAAUGCGGGGCGGGGGUCACUGACAAGAGACGAAUGUACUUGUCAUUGUUCAGUGCUUCUCGAGUGCUGCUCCUGUUGUCAGUCGCACCGUGGCCAGACAUUUGGAACAAACUCAUUAGCUGAUGAGCGGUGUGCUCAGCACCACGUGGUGGCAGUUGCUGUGUGGGCGAUGCUCACGUUAUGGCAGUGCAAGGCUCUCCUGGGGCUCCUUGGCAGCCACGUGGCUACAUGAGCUCGGGGGGCAGCCAUGGUUGGGGCAGGCUGCGCCUUGGCUGUGCUGGGAGAGCCUCCUGCAUGCCCAGCAUCACACUGCAGCUCUCUCCUUGCCUUUCUGCUCCUUAUGAUGCAAAGGCCCCUUUCCUCCCACUCGCUGCCUCCAUCUGCCUUCUCCACAUGGACUGCUCUGCUGCAGCAGUUACUGGGGAGACGCCGCGGUUAUCGCCUUCUGAUGCUGAACUCACUUUGCAAAUAAUGGCCUUGAACUCUGGCUCUGCCAACGGGGCUGAAAUGUGUGCUGUGAGCAACUUGAUAGAAUGUCAUGGGUCAACAACCAAGGUGUGGUGCAGCCUGUUCAGGGAGGACAGGACUAGAAUGGAAAGCUUGCCAAGCUGGAUUCUGGCUUUAAAACCACAAUUGGCUGCCAGCUGUGGCUAGUGUGCAAGGAGAGUUUUUGAUCUGCUGCAGAGAGUCUGUACUCACUGCAGCAUCCUCAGGAUUGUCCCAUUGCAGACUGGACAAAUCUCUCUUGGUACAGCUGCAAUAAUCUGGGGAACCUGGCCAGCCUAGCACCAACACAGUUUAAGGUGUUAACACAACUCUAGUAAAACAACAACUAAAAAACAACCCCUAAUUUCACUCAGGCAGCUUGUUUUGCCUGUACGGAGUGGCUUGAUCAAGUUGACAGAAAAUGCAGUAGUGUUGAUACAGGUGUGCCAGCUGCAGGAAUUCUCUGCUGGGUUUGUUUAUUUGUACACUUGAGCUGCAGGCACAGCCCUGGAGAUGCCUGAGAUGGAGCUGGAAGCACAGGGGAAGCUCCCACCUGUUUCUCAGAGAUCUGUCCAGAGGAGAGAGAAAGUUAGGCAUGAGAGAAGGCAGAAAGUAGACUCAUCUUCUGCACAUUUUACUUUAAACAAGAGCUUUCCUCUUGUUCUUCAGAGCUGUCAGCACCUAAUCAUUAGGCUUAAUGAACAUGCAUAGAAACAUUAGCUUUCCAUCACUGCUGUUUUUUCUAAAGACAAAAAGAGGGAAGUAUUCUUUCAGCUCCUGCUGAUAGUGUCAGAUGCUUGCAGAUGUUUUGUUUUUUCACCCAGAAUUUCAUUCUGCUGGGCUCCCCGAGCUCAAGGUUAACAACUAAGCUAUAUCACAGCUAGCUGCAGACUUGGCUUCCUAACUACCAGAUGGUAUUUGAAGCAUUUCGACUUGCAGCAUUUCUAAAACAAGUUGUUUUUAAUGCAGCUUACCCUGUGCUUUGCUGCAGUCCAUGUCCUUCUGUAUUUAAACCUGGAUCUGUCUCAGAUUGAGGUCAGUGGGAAUUCUGCUACCGGCUCUGAGGUGCAGGGCUGUAAGUUUGCCAUGCUUCUUUCUCUUGGAAAGCAAUACCUUAUAAACUGAAUUUUGCUCUGUUUCCUCUGUUUUAUAGUGUUUAAUAAGGUGAGAUUGCUCAGGAAUUUGGGUUUUAAAUGAGCAGUAGUGCUACCUGGAGCCAGCUGUAACAUGUCCCUCCCAGCCUCUGCUGACCUUUGCUGUCUCCAGUACAGCCACGUCCCAUUUCCUUGAAUUGUCCCACAGCUUUACGAUAGGAACAAACACUCAGAGAAGCACAAGGAGACCACUGACCUCCAACUCGUGAUCCUGGGCUCUGUGUCUCCAACAAGGGAAGGCCAUGAGCUACAGGCUGCCUGGCUCUCGCUACCACAGUCCUUUCUGCAUCCAGUUCCCCUCAAUGUGACCACGAAGGUCUCAGUACAGACCCCCCAUGAAGUGUCUCUAAAUCAGAA
Molecule: long non-coding RNA, 2385 nt
Organism: Centrocercus urophasianus (Greater sage-grouse)
Lineage: Eukaryota; Metazoa; Chordata; Aves; Galliformes; Phasianidae
Exons: 3
Source: RefSeq, a predicted model, not a curated record